Molecule: unclassified non-coding RNA, 251 nt
Filed under: Hevea brasiliensis (rubber tree)
Lineage: Eukaryota; Viridiplantae; Streptophyta; Magnoliopsida; Malpighiales; Euphorbiaceae
Source: RNAcentral
AGAUAUUGCCGUGAGAGUUCUCUUCAAUGAACUAAGACACUUCCGGUCCAUGCUUUUAAAACAAGAAAGAACACAUUGGGAAAAUGAAUAAUAUUGUAUUUCUAGGUAGUAGAAAGUUUAGAUGUAACUGUAACAUGGAAUGACUGGCUUUCUACUUGAUGAGGAAAGACCUAACAACAACUUACCCAGUGUAUCCCAUAUGAGCUAUCAAUAUGAUGGCAUCCUUUGGAACAACCUCCAGUAUCUUUUAU